CGGCAGCGGCGGCGCGGUUGCGAUUCCGAGCCGUUGAGACGCCUCUGCGGCAGCUGGUGGCGCAGGUGGCUUGCGUGGACGCGGGUAGAGGCGACCGGCCAGCAACCGCAGCGUCGGCGCCCGCGGCCCCGGCAGGCGCGUCGGGACGCCCCGAGGCAUCCUCCCCCGCCCGCGGGCCCGGUAGCUGGGCCCGCAUCCCCGCGCCGCCGCAUCUCCUCGCCGCCUCCCGGGCUUCGGACCCCCGGUCUCGCCCCCGAAACAUGACUCGCGAUUUCAAACCUGGAGACCUCAUCUUCGCCAAGAUGAAAGGUUAUCCCCAUUGGCCAGCUCGAGUAGACGAAGUUCCUGAUGGAGCUGUAAAGCCACCCACAAACAAACUACCCAUUUUCUUUUUUGGAACUCAUGAGACUGCUUUUUUAGGACCAAAGGAUAUAUUUCCUUACUCAGAAAAUAAGGAAAAGUAUGGCAAACCAAAUAAAAGAAAAGGUUUUAAUGAAGGUUUAUGGGAGAUAGAUAACAAUCCAAAAGUGAAAUUUUCAAGUCAACAGGCAGCAACUAAACAAUCAAAUGCAUCAUCUGAUGUUGAAGUUGAAGAAAAGGAAACUAGUGUUUCAAAGGAAGAUACCGACCAUGAAGAAAAAGCCAGCAAUGAGGAUGUGACUAAAGCAGUUGACAUAACUACUCCAAAAGCUGCCAGAAGGGGGAGAAAGAGAAAGGCAGAAAAACAAGUAGAAACUGAGGAGGCAGGAGUAGUGACAACAGCAACAGCAUCUGUUAAUCUAAAAGUGAGUCCUAAAAGAGGACGACCUGCAGCUACAGAAGUCAAGAUUCCAAAACCAAGAGGCAGACCCAAAAUGGUAAAACAGCCCUGUCCUUCAGAGAGUGACAUCAUUACUGAAGAGGACAAAAGUAAGAAAAAGGGGCAAGAGGAAAAACAACCUAAAAAGCAGCCUAAGAAGGAUGAAGAGGGCCAGAAGGAAGAAGAUAAGCCAAGAAAAGAGCCGGAUAAAAAAGAGGGGAAGAAAGAAGUUGAAUCAAAAAGGAAAAAUUUAGCUAAAACAGGGGUUACUUCAACCUCCGAUUCUGAAGAAGAAGGAGAUGAUCAAGAAGGUGAAAAGAAGAGAAAAGGUGGGAGGAACUUUCAGACUGCUCACAGAAGGAAUAUGCUGAAAGGCCAACAUGAGAAAGAAGCAGCAGAUCGAAAACGCAAGCAAGAGGAACAAAUGGAAACUGAGCACAUUAAUCCAGUUACUGAAAAGAGAAUACAAGUGGAGCAAACAAGAGAUGAAGAUCUUGAGACAGACUCAUUGGACUGAAUUUCCCCCUUCCCCCCAUUGAUGGAAGAAUGUUCCAGAUUCUAAAUUGAGGACUUCAUUAUUAAUGGCAUUACUGUGUUAUGAUUAACAAAUUUCCUGUAAGGUACACACUACAUACUAAGGUCGGCCAUCAUUCUUGUUUUUUUUUUUUUUUUUUAACCAAGCUUAAAAUGAAGCUUUGUGUUUGAAAGUAAUAACAAGCUCAGACGAAGAUGGUGGUUGUACAUUAUUCAUCUAGAAAAUAUAAAAAUUCAUUUUGUUUUGAAGCUAGUUAUUAAACUGGAAUAGCAGUUAUAUCCCUGAGAAUGGGGCCCUUCUCUUGACAUUCCUUUGUUGUUUAAUUCUUUAGACUCUUAAUAAAUGUUUUUUUAAUCCUGAGAGAUUAAACAGUAGUAGACUUGUUAAGAAUGAAACUGUAACCAAAAUUUUAAAAUAAAGUUUUUUUAAAAAAAAAAACCUGAUUUUUAGAUAUUUUUUGUUCUUGUCUAUUUGAAUUGGUUCAUAAUAUGGCCUGAACUCUAAGCCAAGGUACUAGAAAUUAAGAUUUCAAUUUUAAGUGGUUAUUUUUGUGAUUGACAAUAAAAUGGUACCUUUUGUGAAACAUUAGUGAAUGUUACUGGACGUCAUUCAAGUUUGAUGAAUUGGCCAAAAUUUUAAAAACAGUGUUAUCUUAAGUCUAUUUAACUUUAAAGCUAACUUCAGAACUCAUUAAUCUACUUGUUACAUGCACAAUGAUUAAAUUGGUCUAUUUUAACAUGCAGCUUUAAAAAAGAAUGGAUGUAGAAGCCAUUAAAUAUUUAUAGGUAUCAUCUUCCCAUUGUGGCCUAUUUGUCCAGUGACCCUGAAAUUGGUCUUCUAGCAACACACUAUUUGUGAUGUCACCGAAAAGUCAGAUAUGAUUUAAUUUAGCAUGUUAAUUAGAGUUUUGCUUAUAUUUAUGCUAUGGAACUGCACCAUUCUAACAGCUACAGUCAGUUCCUUUGCAGUCUAGGCUAUUGACUUAUUUUAAGGAAAACAUUUUUAGCUUUUACAUAGGGAUUGUGGGCAUUUAGUCACAAAAUUCCAAUGUUUUGAAAUAUUUUUGUUAACAUUUGAUAGGCAGAAUAAAGAUGAAGGAAAGAAGCCAGAAGUUAAGAAAGUGGAGAAGAAGCGAGAAACAUCAAUGGAUUCUCGACUUCAAAGGAUACAUGCUGAGAUUAAAAAUUCACUCAAAAUUGAUAAUCUUGAUGUGAACAGAUGCAUUGAGGCCUUGGAUGAACUUGCUUCACUUCAGGUCACAAUGCAACAAGCUCAGAAACACACAGAGAUGAUUACUACACUGAAAAAAAUACGGCGAUUCAAAGUUAGUCAGGUUAUCAUGGAAAAGUCUACAAUGUUGUAUAACAAGUUUAAGAACAUGUUCUUGGUUGGUGAAGGAGAUUCCGUGAUCACACAAGUGCUGAAUAAAUCUCUUGCUGAACAAAGACAGCAUGAGGAAGCGAAUAAAACCAAAGAUCAAGGGAAGAAAGGGCCAAACAAAAAGCUAGAGAAGGAACAAACAGGGUCAAAGACUCUAAAUGGAGGAUCUGAUGCUCAAGAUGGUAAUCAGCCACAACAUAACGGGGAGAGCAAUGAAGACAGCAAAGACAACCAUGAAGCCAGCACGAAGAAAAAGCCAUCCAGUGAAGAGAGAGAGACUGAAAUAUCUCUGAAGGAUUCUACACUAGAUAACUAGGUUGACAUACCUGGAAUAUAGAGAACACUUGAGAAGUUUGUAAUGGUUUUCAUUUGAAAUAGACUGCUGAAAGUUUUAAAUUUUUAUAAGCAUAGGUUUGAUGUUGAAAACUUGUUUUGAGGGAGAAAAUCCCUUUAUCUUUGUUUUAAAGUAAAGUAAACAUUAUUGCUAAGUGUACUUGUGCAGUAUUAACAGCUACAUUAUACAGUAAAUGUGGGAUAAAAUCCAUUUAGAAAAUGUUAAACUGCUUUUCCAGACAUGGUUGUAGCAUAUUUUCAAUUAGUGUGUGUAUGUUAAUGUGUAAUUGAUAGUAGAACAAAGUUACAUUUUUAAAACUGCUACUUGUAUAAACCUUGCCUCUUUUCCCAAAUACUGUGGGUUUUGUGCAUAGUUUUUACAAACCUUGGAUUUACCAGACUGUCUUUUCACUGUUUGUGGGUUUUGUAGAAGUUACACAUUUUUAUGGUAGAUAAAAUGUUACUUCUAUACAAGUACUCACUCCCUUUUUAUCAAAAGGUAAUUUUAAUCUCACAGUCUACAUUGUGCUACAUUAUCCAGCUUCUUUGGAACAAUGUGUGCUCUGUAUGGUUUUUUUUGGUAUGACAACUAAUUAAGCAACUGACAUUGAACUGAGAAUUCUACAAACUAUAAAACAUUAAUUUUUGAAGGUAAUUUAGUUUUGUGGCUGGGCAUUCAGUGAAGUCUUAGGACUUCUUUGCAGAUAACUGACUGGGUAUAUAUAGGAAUGAAUCUGGCUUUAGGGUUAAAUCAUUUAAGGUCCUUUUAUAGGCAGGCACUAGUAACUAAAACUGAAAACUAAGUAAGUUUAUUUUUGAGGAAUGUUGUUAAAAAUGUCUUUAGGAAGUCACUAAAUAGUACUUAAUUGGAAGAAAAAAUCAUGAUGCUUAUACAAUAAAUAUGAAUAAAUGUUAUAUAAGGAAACUCACCUAUUUGAAAUCAUGGCUAUAUUAUUUUUAUUUUCUAGAUUCCAAAAAUACAAACACUAGUUGUUCCAGCAUUGUACUUUGAUAAGUCUGUACAUUGACGUGUAUGGACUAAAUCCAGGGUAAAAUCAAUGUUACAAAAUUUAAGGGUAUGUUAACUAAAGGAUAGCAUUUCUAAGAUACUUUGAAUAUUAGGGUCAUUUGGCACUUCUCAGCAAGUAGGAUACUUCUCAUGUUUUGAAAUUAUAUGAAUAUGGAAAAAAAUGGCUUAAGACCAGCGUCUCUGUAUGACAUUGUAUGGUUGACCCUCUGAGAUAACUGUUUUCAUCUACAGAAUUGCAUUUUUGCUUUUAAAGAGGUCUUAUAAUGGAACUAGGAAUCACCGUUUUGAGAGAACCUGCACAUAUACCAGUCAUUAUCUGUUUGGUCCUUAUACAGUUUUAACUUAGAUUUAUUCUAGUUAAGCCAUAAGUUCAACGUGUAAACUUGUUUUGAUUAAAGAAUUUUUCUAUCAAA
RNA transcript from Pan troglodytes (chimpanzee), 4490 nucleotides. It is a transcript of the gene named PC4 and SFRS1 interacting protein 1, with no coding region annotated. The record is from RefSeq and is a predicted model, not a curated record. The transcript is spliced from 16 exons. Lineage: Eukaryota; Metazoa; Chordata; Mammalia; Primates; Hominidae.